UUUAAUGUUGAUAAUUAUUUUAGAUAUAAAAAUAUUAUCAUGGAUGCUGUGAUAAUUGUACAAAAUGAUGACAGACAUGUAUAUGAAUGUGUAUGAAUAUUCGUGUAGAUGCAUCGUAUUGAUUUACAUUCUGAAAUUGCUACCUUAGCGAUCGCGAAAAUACUGGUACAUUCCAUAGAUGAUUCACUGCCGCCCUACCCGUAUUAUUCGAGGCUAUUGCAACGCUCUGCUUUUCUUUAUUUUUAUUAUCGACGAUUCUUGCAAGGUUGUAUUCUCUCAACGUAUCCGGCGCCUUUUAUAGCAAACAGAUAUUCCCUUCAAGUUUGGACCUUCGAACGACAAGACGAAAGCUACAUGGUCGACUUGGUUUUUUGAUUCACCAUCGCGAAACAUUAGUCAGCAUCCAGAAUUUGGUUGCUUGCCAGACUCCUUGGGCUUAUCACGAAUACCAAAAUGGAGAUUGACCGACGCCAUUAUCUUUUAGUGGAAAAUGAUUUCUAUUGAGAAUAUGAUAAACGUAACACUACGAUUCGUUCUAAUAAAUUAAACUAACCAAUCA
This 559-nucleotide long non-coding RNA is filed under the name Polistes fuscatus (common paper wasp). RNAcentral describes it as "uncharacterized LOC122522821". The record is from RNAcentral. Lineage: Eukaryota; Metazoa; Arthropoda; Insecta; Hymenoptera; Vespidae.